UUCAGGUGGAUACACCUAAAGCUAUCGCUGG
RNAcentral lists this non-coding RNA (31 nucleotides) under Rattus norvegicus (Norway rat). The record is from RNAcentral. Lineage: Eukaryota; Metazoa; Chordata; Mammalia; Rodentia; Muridae.